CCUACGGGAGGCAGCAGUGGGGAAUAUUGCACAAUGGGCGAAAGCCUGAUGCAGCAACGCCGCGUGAAGGAAGAAGGGUUUCGGCUCGUAAACUUCUAUCAACAGGGAAGAAAGAAAUGACGGUACCUGCAUAAGAAGCACCGGCUAAAUACGUGCCACCAGCCGCGGGAAGACGGAGGGGGCAAGCGUUAUCCGGAAUUACUGGGUGUAAAGGGUGAGUGGGCGGCAUGGUAAGUCAGAUGUGAAAGCCAUGGGCGUAACCCGAGUAUUGCAUUUGAAACUAUCAAGCUAGAGUACAGGAGAGGUAAGCGGAAUUCCUAGUGUAGCGGUGAAAUGCGUAGAUAUUAGGAAGAACACCAGUGGCGAAGGCGGCUUUCUGGACUGAAACUGACGCUGAGGCACGAAAGCGUGGGGAGCGAACAGGAUUAGAUACCCGUGUAGUC
This 443-nucleotide ribosomal RNA is filed under the name uncultured bacterium. RNAcentral describes it as "partial 16S ribosomal RNA". It matches the Rfam family "Bacterial small subunit ribosomal RNA", at positions 338 to 795 of the family's 1533-position model. The record is from RNAcentral.